CUAAAGACCCUGCAGGGGUGAUACCAGGAUCAUGAGGGUGAUUCUCCCAUGGCAAGGCUUACCCAUUGCACUCCAAAUGUGCUGACCCCUGACAUUCUCCAGCUUGUGGUAGUGGGGCACUGGAAUAGCUCUCCCCUG
Molecule: small nuclear RNA, 138 nt
Organism: Erinaceus europaeus (western European hedgehog)
Lineage: Eukaryota; Metazoa; Chordata; Mammalia; Eulipotyphla; Erinaceidae
Gene: U1
Rfam family: U1 spliceosomal RNA
About the family: U1 is a small nuclear RNA (snRNA) component of the spliceosome (involved in pre-mRNA splicing).
Source: Ensembl